Molecule: ribosomal RNA, 117 nt
Filed under: Chelonoidis abingdonii (Abingdon island giant tortoise)
Lineage: Eukaryota; Metazoa; Chordata; Testudines; Testudinidae
Source: RNAcentral
ACCUGCAGCCACAGAACCAUGAGCUGUGAUUCCAACGGAGCUUAGAAGCUAAGCAGAGUUGGCUUGAUGCGGACCUAUAUGGGAGACCCGGAAGGAAAGCCCAAGGUGCAGCAGGAA